GUACACGCUGUGACUAGCAUAUCAAUAAGCGGAGGAAAAGAAACUAACAAGGAUUCCCCUAGUAACGGCGAGUGAAGCGGGAAGAGCUCAAAUUUGAAAUCUUAAAGGGUUUCCCUUUACGAAUUGUAGUUUAAAGAAGUGUUUUCUGUUGAGGUUUUGGUAAAAGUUCUUUGGAAUAGGACAUCAUAGAGGGUGAGAAUCCCGUAUUUGACCUUUACUUCCAACUUUGUGAUACACUUUCAAAGAGUCGGAUUGUUUGGGAAUGCAGUCCAAAAUGGGUGGUAAAUUUCAUCUAAAGCUAAAUAUUGGCGAGAGACCGAUAGCGAACAAGUACCGUGAGGGAAAGAUGAAAAGAACUUUGAAAAGAGAGUUAAACAGUACGUGAAAUUGUCAAAAGGGAAGCGUUUGACACCAGUGUUGUUUUUCUGAAAAUCAAUUAAAGAACUGUUUAUGCUAAGUUGUUUAGACUUUAUCAGCUAACUGUUUAGUUUUGAGCUUUUCUUUAAUGCACUUUUCAGUUAACAAGUCAACAUCAAUUUCUUUUGCUGUAAAAAAGCUUGAGGAAGGUGGCUUGAGAUUCGUCUUAAGUGUUUAUAGCCUCUUGCCUAUGCAGUCGGAGAGAUUGAGGUCUGCAGCGUAGAUCCUUCGGGGCUAAAUGCAUUUGUGCUAAGUUAUAACAUUUUAUAGACAACUUGUUGACUAUGAUUUGUCUUGUAGCUUACUCGCUUAUGUUAUUUUACCUACGCUUAGGAUGUUGAAGUCAUCGUAUCGCGC
Molecule: ribosomal RNA, 774 nt
Filed under: uncultured Neocallimastigales
Lineage: Eukaryota; Fungi; Neocallimastigomycota; Neocallimastigomycetes; Neocallimastigales
Description: partial large subunit ribosomal RNA
Rfam family: Eukaryotic large subunit ribosomal RNA
Source: RNAcentral